UACGAAGGGGACUAGCGUUGUUCGGAAUUACUGGGCGUAAAGCGCACGUAGGCGGAUUUGUAAGUCAGGGGUGAAAUCCCGGGGCUCAACCUCGGAACUGCCUUUGAUACUGCAAAUCUCGAGUCCGAUAGAGGUGGGUGGAAUUCCUAGUGUAGAGGUGAAAUUCGUAGAUAUUAGGAAGAACACCGGUGGUGAAGGCGGCCCACUGGAUCGGUACUGACGCUGAGGUGCGAAAGCGUGGGGAGCAAACAGG
This 253-nucleotide ribosomal RNA is filed under the name uncultured bacterium. Its description in RNAcentral is "partial 16S ribosomal RNA". It matches the Rfam family "Bacterial small subunit ribosomal RNA", at positions 524 to 776 of the family's 1533-position model. The record is from RNAcentral.